GCGGUUCUGCGCGUCGCGUCAGGAGUGUUGCAUCCCCGGGGCCUUAUCGAUCCUAACGGGAGCUGUCCCUGCUCUGGCCCGUGGGCCUAGGCACAUGGCGCCCACCUACAUGUGUAGGUUCCCGGGAUCGAAAAUCUCCAACGGACGGGUGGGCCGCC
This 158-nucleotide non-coding RNA is filed under the name Rhodobiaceae bacterium. RNAcentral's name for it is "6S RNA". It matches the Rfam family "6S / SsrS RNA". From Rfam's summary of the family: E. coli 6S RNA was the first non coding RNA to be sequenced, but its function was unknown until recently. Lineage: Bacteria; Pseudomonadati; Pseudomonadota; Alphaproteobacteria; Hyphomicrobiales; Rhodobiaceae. The record is from RNAcentral.